This 506-nucleotide long non-coding RNA is filed under the name Capra hircus (goat). RNAcentral describes it as "lncRNA (ENSCHIG00010020343.1)". Lineage: Eukaryota; Metazoa; Chordata; Mammalia; Artiodactyla; Bovidae. The record is from RNAcentral.
AUGAACAGUGCUCGUCAAACACUUUCUGCAAAGGAAAUUCUUCUUGGAGAGUUGGCUGAUACAAAGCGUCUAGCAGGAGUCUGGGAAAAGGGUAUUGCCGAAUCCUUUCCUGAACCAGAGAUAGAUGAUCGAACCAGGCAUGGCGCAUCAGAGAAUCACAACUUACUGGUAAGCAGGAUUUGGAGGUGGGCAGGUGGCUCAGUCACAGUCAAGGUCUCUAAGGAUGGAAGAACCUCUUGAUUAACUCAGGUUGCUCAGGAACAAACAUUAAGUUUAUCACAGUCAACUCUAGGAGAAACACACUAGGGUGAAAGUGAUGUCCAAGGGAGGAAAAUGAAGCCAAGAGGUGCAAGAGUCAGCCUGAGUCUGGUGACAUGAUGUCAGUCUCUGGUUUCAGGUGCCUGCAGCAUAGAUUGGACUUCUCAAAUUUUCAUGCCAAUACAUUCCCUUUCCUACUGAAGCCACUGGCUUGGUUUUUGUCAUUUGUAGUCAGAUUUUAUCAUUUG